UAGGGAAUCUUCCACAAUGGACGCAAGUCUGAUGGAGCAACGCCGCGUGAGUGAAGAAGGUUUUCGGAUCGUAAAGCUCUGUUGUUGGUGAAGAAGGAUAGAGGUAGUAACCGGCCUUUAUUUGACGGUAAUCAACCAGAAAGUCACGGCUAACUACGUGCCAGAG
RNAcentral lists this ribosomal RNA (166 nucleotides) under uncultured bacterium. Its description in RNAcentral is "partial 16S rRNA". It matches the Rfam family "Bacterial small subunit ribosomal RNA", at positions 355 to 513 of the family's 1533-position model. The record is from RNAcentral.